GUACUGAUGAAGAGUCCCAAACAAGGACGAAACAGUUGUCCAGUAC
Trichobilharzia regenti is the source of this 46-nucleotide non-coding RNA. Lineage: Eukaryota; Metazoa; Platyhelminthes; Trematoda; Strigeidida; Schistosomatidae. The record is from Rfam.